This 499-nucleotide long non-coding RNA is filed under the name Ovis aries (sheep). Its description in RNAcentral is "lncRNA (ENSOARG00000026443.1)". Lineage: Eukaryota; Metazoa; Chordata; Mammalia; Artiodactyla; Bovidae. The record is from RNAcentral.
CCCGCCCACCCCAGGUCGCCCCUCGCAUCCACUGGCGGCGGUUACGGGGGACGGGGCUCUGAGAUCUCUGGGACCCGAGCGACAGGAAGGGACGCGAGCGAGGGCCGCAGGCCCCCUGCUUGUUUUGUUGUGAUGAUGGAUCCGCUCCAGCACUGAGGAGGGGCCAGGCCCAGCUGACAGUACAAAUGCCCGGGCUGCUCCUCGCUCCGGGAGUCUCUGUGCUUUAGUUCCGGGUGCGGGUGUCCUGGCGUAGGGCUGGGGUGGGAAUCGCCUGAGCCAGGGCUCCGUCGAAGCGGAGUUGGCAGCCUUCCAGCUUCCCUCCUCCAUGCCCUUGAAAAGGAGGAGCGUUUCACCCGGUGGUGGCGGCUUGCAAGGUGGCAGACAGACCCUUCUCAUGAGAUGGGGCAGCCUCAAUGGAUUUUCCAAAAAUGUGCUUCAUCAGGCAAGCCCAGGACUGACCACCAUUGGUUGACUAUGGCCAAGUGAAGGAUUGGGAGGG